RNAcentral lists this ribosomal RNA (454 nucleotides) under uncultured Allobrachymonas sp. Its description in RNAcentral is "bacterial SSU rRNA". It matches the Rfam family "Bacterial small subunit ribosomal RNA", at positions 923 to 1382 of the family's 1533-position model. The record is from RNAcentral. Lineage: Bacteria; Pseudomonadati; Pseudomonadota; Betaproteobacteria; Burkholderiales; Comamonadaceae.
GCACAAGCGGUGGAUGAUGUGGUUUAAUUCGAUGCAACGCGAAAACCUUACCCACCUUUGACAUGGCAGGAAUCCCGAAGAGAUUUGGGAGUGCUCGAAAGAGAACCUGCACACAGGUGCUGCAUGGCUGUCGUCAGCUCGUGUCGUGAGAUGUUGGGUUAAGUCCCGCAGCGAGCGCAACCCUUGCCAUUAGUUGCUACGAAAGGGCACUCUAAUGGGACUGCCGGUGACAAACCGGAGGAAGGUGGGGAUGACGUCAAGUCCUCAUGGCCCUUAUAGGUGGGGCUACACACGUCAUACAAUGGCCGGUACAGAGGGUAGCCAACCCGCGAGGGGGAGCCAAUCCCACAAAGCCGGUCGUAGUCCGGAUCGCAGUCUGCAACUCGACUGCGUGAAGUCGGAAUCGCUAGUAAUCGCGGAUCAGCAUGUCGCGGUGAAUACGUUCCCGGGUCUU